CGAGCUUUCAUCCUUUUUGCUCUUUUGAUGACUUAAGAAUGCAUUACUCAAGGUAAGAGUGGAAGUGUUGUGAGCAACCCCUUCUUAUCAAAUUUUCCUCAAUUUGUAUGUCUAUAUUGAAAAUAAGAAAAAUAAUUUACUUUCAAACUAUCUCUUCUAUGCACUACAACACACAGGCCAUCACCUCCAUAUCACCACCCCACCCUAUCUCAUAGUGUUCACCUAAAUUAAGAGAAAGUAAGAAAUAUUUUCCUUUGAACCAAACACACCCUAAGUAUAUGUUUUGUUAAUGAUCUUGGUGUCUAGGCAAGUUUUUGCGCACUUCAAUUAAUUCUACGAGAUACGUCACCUUCCACCAACAACAAGUAUCAAGUAAUAUCUUGUCUUGGUUAGGAUUGAAUUAUGAUGCUCUCAUAGUUAUCAUCC
Molecule: long non-coding RNA, 426 nt
Filed under: Solanum tuberosum (potato)
Lineage: Eukaryota; Viridiplantae; Streptophyta; Magnoliopsida; Solanales; Solanaceae
Description: long non-coding RNA (STUB_LNC009358)
Source: RNAcentral